This 782-nucleotide unclassified non-coding RNA is filed under the name Amphibalanus amphitrite. Its description in RNAcentral is "down syndrome cell adhesion molecule homolog, transcript variant X5". The record is from RNAcentral. Lineage: Eukaryota; Metazoa; Arthropoda; Thecostraca; Balanomorpha; Balanidae.
GUGUGCAGACGAAAAUAUGCAUGUGAGUGCUAGAAAUUCGUAAAUUACAUUAUUUCAUUGACUGUUUUUGUUAAAAACACGUGAUGACAAGCUCAGCAAAUCUAUUCAUGGUGGUUUACGUGGCAAAUUGGCUUUCCUUUGUGGGAUAAUGCCAUUUUCAUUAGCUCUACUUUGAUUAGCGUAUGACAGGUGUUCGUGUAAAAUAAGCAAUUUUACCUAUUUCCUUCAUCAGUUUGGUAGCUGAAACAGCUACCAAUUUACUUCCACUAUGACAGUUUCCAGUAACAUAUGCUACUGAUUGGCUAAUAUUAGCCAAUCAGAUCUCUGGAGUUCCCCGCAGUGCGUUACAACUAUGACGCGGCAAAGACAUAUUUGGACAUAUCAUUUCUAUAUUGAUAUGCCUAUCUACACUGCAUUGGCCUUGCGUGGAUGUCAUCAAGUGAAAUAUUUUGGCUUAAGGUCAGUGAGACGCUAGUCGCUACUCUUCUAUACGCUAUGCCCUUUUUCAAUAUGAAUACGGUGUCGUGUUCUGACUGCAGACUCCUGAGUGUUAAUGGAAACAGACGACGCUGAGCUGGGGCCGGACGCAGCAGGCGACGGACGCUGUAGUGUGCUGGGCAAAAUAGUCCAAGAUGCUGGUAGCGGGUGAAAUACGCAGCUGCUCGUCGUCUCCAAGAGCGCCGCGGACGCCGUGGACUGCGCCAUCAAAGUCGACGGAAAGUCGGUUCCAGCAAUCGUCAGUGAUAUAUAAAAGUGAAAAGUUAAUAAAAUAUACAACUUUC